This 342-nucleotide ribosomal RNA is filed under the name Triticum aestivum (bread wheat). RNAcentral describes it as "partial small subunit ribosomal RNA". The record is from RNAcentral. Lineage: Eukaryota; Viridiplantae; Streptophyta; Magnoliopsida; Poales; Poaceae.
AUGACUGCGUGUUAUUGGCAAGAUACCUACGUGGAUGAUAUCGACAAGCUCGAUGGCCACAAUGAACCAGAUGUUGUCGACUACAUGGAGGACAUCUAUAAGUACUACAAGGCAGCACUGGCUAUUCUUUUCCUCAGGUUCUUAUUGAUCUCUUCUUUGCAUGAGCUUCUGAACACACAUCUAAAGCUUCUAAGAAGCAAAUUCCAUACUCUAGCAGUGACUUGCUUUCCGGUGUUUUGGUGGGAGAAAAUUUUCAGAAGCCAAGUUGUGCUGGACAUAAAUAUACUACGCCAAGGAGCUAAAAAAGGCUAUGGUUUUAUGAGUUCUCAGGCUCUGGUCUGA